AAGGUACUGUACGAAUGAUGCUACUGGCUAAACUGCAGUCACCUAGCAGUCUGCAGUAAUGCGAGAGGGGUGCUAGCGUUACUCCGGAUUUAAUCGGGUAUAAAGCGUCCGUAGGGCGGAUCCGUAAGUCAGUGGUGAAAUCUCAUAGCUUAACUAUGAAUCUGCCAUUGAUACUGCGGGUCUUGAGUAAGGUAGAAGUAGCUGGAAUAAGUAGUGUAGCGGUGAAAUGCAUAGAUAUUACUUAGAACCCCAAUUUCGAAGGCAGGUUACUAUGUCUUAUCUGACGCUGAUGGACGAAAGCGUGGGGAGCGAACAGGAUUAGAUACCCUGGUAGUCCACGCCGUAAACGAUGCUAACUCGUUCUUGGGUUUUCGGAUUCAGAGACUAAGCGAAAGUGAUAAGUUAGCCCCCUGGGGAGUUCGAACGCAAGUUUGAAACUCAAAGGAAUUGACGGGGGCCCGCACAAGCGGUGGAUUAUGUGGUUUAAUUCGAUGAUACGCGAGGAACCUUACCAAGACUUAAAUGGGAAUUGAUCGGUUUAGAAAUAGACCUUCCUUCGGGCAAUUUUCAAGGUGCUGCAUGGUUGUCGUCAGCUCGUUCCGUGAGGUGUUAGGUUAAGUCCUGCAACGAGCGCAACCCCUGUCACUAGUUGCCAUCAUUAAGUUGGGGACUCUAGUGAGCCUCCCUACGCAAGUAGAGAGGAAGGUGGGGAUGACGUCAAAUCAUCACGGCCCUUACGUCUUGGGCCACACCCGUAAUACAAUGGCCGGUACAGAGGGCAGCUACACAGCGAUGUGAUGCAAAUCUCGAAAGCCGGUCUCAGUUCGGAUUGGAGUCUGCAACUCGACUCUAUGAAGCUGGAAUCGCUAGUAAUCGCGCAUCAGCCAUGGCGCGGUGAAUACGUUCCCGGGCCUUGUACACACCGCCCGUCAAGCCAUGGAAGUCUGGGGUACCUGAAGUCGGUGACCGUAACAGGAGCUGCCUAGGUACCCAGAUUGCA
This 1000-nucleotide ribosomal RNA is filed under the name Chryseobacterium sp. RNAcentral's name for it is "bacterial SSU rRNA". It matches the Rfam family "Bacterial small subunit ribosomal RNA", at positions 472 to 1476 of the family's 1533-position model. The record is from RNAcentral. Lineage: Bacteria; Pseudomonadati; Bacteroidota; Flavobacteriia; Flavobacteriales; Weeksellaceae.